AGAAGACCCUGUGGAACUUAAAAAUCAGCAGCCACCCUACACAAACUCAAGCCCAUCAGGCCCACCACCACCAGAUACUGGCCCACAUUUUUCAGUUGGGGCGACCUUGGAGAAAAACAAACCUUCCAAAAACAAGACCUCCCCUCUUAACUAAGAGCACCCCUCAAAGUACCAACAGUGACCAGACCCAAUACAAUUCACCAAUGGACCAAGCUACCCCAGGGACAACAGCUCAAUCCCCUUCAAAAGCCCAUAUUGACAAGGGGGUUUAUGACCUCAAUGUUGGAUCAGGACAUCCUAAUGGUGCAGCAGCUAUUAAGGGUUCAUUUGUUCAACGAUUAACAGUCCCACGUGAUCUGAGUUUAGACCGGAGCAAUCCCCCUUAGCCU
This 389-nucleotide non-coding RNA is filed under the name Phalacrocorax carbo (great cormorant). Its description in RNAcentral is "Bacterial large subunit ribosomal RNA". It matches the Rfam family "Bacterial large subunit ribosomal RNA", at positions 2083 to 2637 of the family's 2925-position model. Lineage: Eukaryota; Metazoa; Chordata; Aves; Suliformes; Phalacrocoracidae. The record is from Rfam by way of RNAcentral.